RNAcentral lists this ribosomal RNA (456 nucleotides) under uncultured Syntrophus sp. RNAcentral's name for it is "bacterial SSU rRNA". It matches the Rfam family "Bacterial small subunit ribosomal RNA", at positions 925 to 1382 of the family's 1533-position model. The record is from RNAcentral. Lineage: Bacteria; Pseudomonadati; Thermodesulfobacteriota; Syntrophia; Syntrophales; Syntrophaceae.
ACAAGCAGCGGAGCGUGUGGUUUAAUUCGAUGCAACGCGAAGACCUUACCUGGGCUUGACAUCCCUGGAAUCCCCUGGAAACAGGGGAGUGCCCUUCGGGGAGCCAGGAGACAGGCGCUGCAUGGCUGUCGUCAGCUCGUGUCGUGAGAUGUUGGGUUAAGUCCCGCAACGAGCGCAACCCUUAUCAUUAGUUGCUAACAUUCAGUUGAGAACUCUAAUGAGACUGCCAGUGAUAAACUGGAGGAAGGUGGGAUGACGUCAAAUCAUCAUGCCCCUUAUGACCUGGGCUACACACGUGCUACAAUGGCCGGUACAAAGAGUUGCGAAACUGUGAAGUUAAGCUAAUCUCAUAAAGCCGGUCUCAGUUCGGAUUGUAGUCUGCAACUCGACUACAUGAAGUCGGAAUCGCUAGUAAUCGCGAAUCAGAAUGUCGCGGUGAAUACGUUCUCGAGUCUU